CUUACAAUACUUGAAUAGAUACCAAUACAACUAUAACCAUUAACUCAUAAUACACACUUAUUCGAUCAGCUUUCCUUUUCCUUUGUUCGUGCCUGAGCCUUCAGGUUGCUCAUACAUAACUGAAAACAUUUAAUUUAAGCAAGGAUGAGCAUUUGAGUGCCCAGCAAGUAAUAGCAAUUAUAUAUAUAAGCUGAAAGAAUAUAAGUAUUCUCUUUACAUAACACUUCUACAACGAAUCGAAAGUUGUGAAGUAAUCUGUACUGAUAAAAAAUUCACAUAACAACUCUCUUUCAAUUUCUUGAAAUUAGGCUCCACCCAUGAAUAGGGUUUAAGAAACAUACUAUGAACAUUGUUUUUCAUUUUCGAAAAGGUUUAGCAGAAAUUCAUCCGCAAACCGUCAUAGCUUACGGGCACGGAGGGUGAUCAGCCCCGUUGUACCCUGUAUUGAUCAAUACUACAUAACUUGAACGAAAUUCAUCGCUCACUCUAUCCGCCUUGGGCGCAAAAAUCUUCCCAUAUAGGGAUGUUCAUACAUGCCUGGUUCCAAACCCGAAGGUUUUUAAUCUUGCUCAACAAUAAUAUGUAAUUCAACAUAUAUGUAUACGGGUAAUUGACAAAGGUAUAUCAACAUGUGAAUAAAUGCCAUGAUUAUCCAAGUGGGGACACUUGUAUAACCAUUUAGAAAUCAACUUAAUAGAAUAUAUAUAUGAGCUAACAUGUUGAUAAUCAUAGCGUACAUAAUCUGUACAGGAAUAGAAUAAUUCUGAAACUUCUUACUCAUGUCCAUUGCAUAAAGAAAAUGCAAAGGUAGGAUACUUGCCUGAUUCGCUGAUUACCAAUCUCAACUCAGGUUUUAUCUCUUUAUCACAACCUAUCAAUAAUCAGAUCACUCGUUCGAUUAGAACAAUAUAUCUUAACACAUAGUACUAUCUAUUACAGUCUGCACAUAAUCACAGUGAUCAUACUUUUAGUUCCUAUUCUAUACUUGAAAUAUUUUUAUAAAUUUUUCAAAUAUCUCAUCCAUGCUCUUACAGUAGCCUUUUCUUUCUAUUAUAGGGUCUGACAUUUGUCGGCGUACCGACAACUUUAUCAGGUAAAUACUGAGUCUAAGACUCUUAUUCUAUACCUCAACAUCUGCAAAUAUUAGACAUCUUAUUUUUAACAAUUUUCGAAAUUUCCAGAAAUUGAAAAAUUUAAAAUAAUUCAAAUUUGUCACUAAAGGGCCUAUAGUGAUAUAACUGUUACUAUAGGUGUUCUUCAAAACUUCAUAACUUCAUAAUCGGUUCUCAAGUCAGCUAGUUUGGCCGGCUAUAACUUUCAAACAUCGGAAUCAUAAUUAAAUGAUUUAAACAUUAAACAAUUCCAUUAUCAUUAAUAAUUAAUUUAUAUUAAACUAUUAAUGAAACCAUUGCCAAAAUAUAAAAGUUAUUUAUAAUAACUCAAACUAUUUUUAAAACAUUUAUAUUACCCUUAAAUGAUUUUUAAAACAAUUAAAAUCAUUUUUAAAUAAUCACCAUUAAUAUAUAAAUAUUAAUGUACUAUUCAUCCAAAUAUUAAAAGUCAUUAAUUAUAACUUAAAAUAUUUUUAAAUCCUUAAUAUCCUCUUUAAAUGAUUUUUAAAUAAAUAAAACCAUUUUUAAACUAUUUAUUUAAUAAUAAUUAUUAAAUAAACUAAAUAUCAUUAAUAUUAUCUUAAUAUCAUUAAUAUUAAAUUAUUAAUGAAAUUAUCCUUUAAAUAUUAAAAGUUAUAUUUUAUAACUUAAAAUAUUUUUAAAUACCUUAAUUUCAUUUAAAAUGAUUUUUAUAAUAUUAAAAUCAUUUUUAAACUAAAUUAUUUAAUAUAAUCAUUAAAUAACUUUAAUAUCAUUAAUAUAUAAUUAAUUAAUGAAAUUCAUCACAAAAUAUUAAAAGUCAUGGAAAAUAACUUAAAAUAUUUUCUUAUACCAUAAUAUAAUUUUUCAUGAUUUUUCAUGAAUUAAAACUAUUUUUAAAUAAUUUAUUUAAUAUUAUAAUUAAAUAAAUAAAUACUUUUUAUAUUCCAAAAAUAUUAAAUAUUUAUGAAAUAUACUCAAAAUAAUUAAAAACUAUUUUUCGGACUUUAAAAUAAUUUUUCAGAAUUUAUUUGGUAUUUUUAAUAAUUAAAAUCGAAUUUUUCUAAUUGUUAAAUCAAUUUCCGGAAAAUAAUAAUAAUAACCGUCGCUAAAGGCCCCUAUAGUGACAGAAGCGUCGCUAUAGGUGUUCUUCACCAACCCAGAUUUCAUAAGGCAGUUAGCGAGUAGGCACGUUUGACCGAGUAUAACUCUCUCAUCUGAACGAAUUUGGACAAUCUAUAAAUUAGGUCUUGUAGAGAAAAUACCAGACUACAAUUUCCAACAAUCAUAACGUUUAAACAACAUCAGAUCUGGGAGAAAUCAGCCAUCAAAGUAGCUUCCAAAGCUGUUCUUCACGAAGAACAAUUUGAGGUGCUUAUAACUUAAUGAUCGUGUAACUUUUUGGUGAUCUAUCAACUCCAGUGUGUAGACAACAUGUAGGACUAUAACUUCAAACCUUAACAUCAUCAUAAAAACAUAAUAUCUAACCGGAAAUCGUUGGUCAAAGUGCAACACGGAACUUGUUCAUGAAAAAUCUGGUUUCACUAGUUUGGCAGAUUUGGUCAACGGGUUUUGACCGCUUAUAUCUCUCAAUCUAAAACUGAUCUAGACUUGAUUCGUUUUGCAUCUUAAAGACCACAUAACAAGCUGCACAUACCAUCUUUACAACACCACAAACAGUAAAUAAUCACAGAGAUAUAAGGCUUCACAUUUGCCCAAAAAUAACAGAAUUCGAUUUUUCAAAAGAUGGAAAAACUUUGAUUUUGAGCACUUUGAUGUUAUGGGUCAUGAAUGUAACAAUCCAGUACAUUAAUAGACUCUCUAUUACACAACUUUAAACAAUCAAUUGCAUCAAUUAACAUCGAAUCGAAGGAUUUCUAGAAUUUAGGAUUUCCUACCUUUUCAAGCUUGAUUUUUGAUUUCUGGCUUCUUGAUGCUUCUGAUUUGUGGUUUGUGAN
This 3049-nucleotide long non-coding RNA is filed under the name Panax ginseng (ginseng). RNAcentral's name for it is "long non-coding RNA (PGIN_LNC002318)". Lineage: Eukaryota; Viridiplantae; Streptophyta; Magnoliopsida; Apiales; Araliaceae. The record is from RNAcentral.